This 713-nucleotide ribosomal RNA is filed under the name uncultured Actinomycetes bacterium. RNAcentral's name for it is "bacterial SSU rRNA". It matches the Rfam family "Bacterial small subunit ribosomal RNA", at positions 747 to 1461 of the family's 1533-position model. Lineage: Bacteria; Bacillati; Actinomycetota; Actinomycetes. The record is from RNAcentral.
UGAGGAGCGAAAGGCGUGGGGAGCGAACAGGAUUAGAUACCCUGGUAGCCCACGCCGUAAACGGUGGGCGCUAGUUGUGCGAACCUUCCACGGUUUGUGCGACGCAGCUAACGCAUUAAGCGCCCCGCCUGGGGAGUACGAUCGCAAGAUUAAAACUCAAAGGAAUUGACGGGGCCCCGCACAAGCAGCGGAGCAUGCGGCUUAAUUCGACGCAACGCGAAGAACCUUACCAAGGCUUGACAUAUACAGGAAUACGGCAGAGAUGUCGUAGCCGCAAGGUCUGUAUACAGGUGGUGCAUGGUUGUCGUCAGCUCGUGUCGUGAGAUGUUGGGUUAAGUCCCGCAACGAGCGCAACCCUCGUUCUGUGUUGCCAGCAUUUAGUUGGGGACUCACAGGAGACUGCCGGGGUUGACUCGGAGGAAGGUGGGGAUGACGUCAAAUCAUCAUGCCCCUUAUGUCUUGGGCUGCACGCAUGCUACAAUGGCUGGUACAAACGGCUGCAAUACCGCAAGGUGGAGCGAAUCCGAGAAAGCCAGUCUCAGUUCGGAUUGGGGUCUGCAACUCGACCCCAUGAAGUCGGAGUGGCUAGUAAUCGUAGAUCAGCAACGCUACGGUGAAUACGUUCCCGGGACUUGUACACACCGCCCGUCACAUCACGAAAGUCGGUAACACCCAAAGUCAGUGGCCCAACCGCAAGGAGGGAGCUGCCAAAG